Molecule: ribosomal RNA, 253 nt
Filed under: uncultured bacterium
Lineage: Bacteria
Description: partial 16S ribosomal RNA
Rfam family: Bacterial small subunit ribosomal RNA
Source: RNAcentral
UACGAAGGGGGCUAGCGUUGCUCGGAAUCACUGGGCGUAAAGGGUGCGUAGGCGGGUCUUUAAGUCAGGGGUGAAAUCCUGGGGCUCAACUCCAGAACUGCCUUUGAUACUGAAGAUCUUGAGUUCGGGAGAGGUGAGUGGAACUGCGAGUGUAGAGGUGAAAUUCGUAGAUAUUCGCAAGAACACCAGUGGCGAAGGCGGCUCACUGGCCCGAUACUGACGCUGAUGCACGAAAGCGUGGGGAGCAAACAGG